This 1116-nucleotide ribosomal RNA is filed under the name Umbelopsis vinacea. RNAcentral describes it as "SSU rRNA". It matches the Rfam family "Eukaryotic small subunit ribosomal RNA", at positions 38 to 1150 of the family's 1831-position model. Lineage: Eukaryota; Fungi; Mucoromycota; Umbelopsidomycetes; Umbelopsidales; Umbelopsidaceae. The record is from RNAcentral.
CAAAGAUUAAGCCAUGCAUGUCUAAGUAUAAACAAAUUUAUACAGUGAAACUGCGAAUGGCUCAUUAAAUCAGUUAUAAUUUAUUUGAUAUUCACUUACUACUUGGAUAACCGUGGUAAUUCUAGAGCUAAUACAUGCGUACAUAACCUCGACUUCUGGAAGAGGUGCACUUAUUAGAUAAAAAGCCAACGCGGGCAACCGCUUGUAUGGUGAUUCAUAAUAAUUAAGCGAAUCGCAUGGCCUUGUGCCGGCGAUGAUACAUUCAAAUUUCUGCCCUAUCAAGUUUCGAUGGUAGGUUAGUGGCCUACCAUGCUUUUAACGGGUAACGGGGAAUUAGGGUUCGAUUCCGGAGAGGGAGCCUGAGAAACGGCUACCACAUCCAAGGAAGGCAGCAGGCGCGCAAAUUACCCAAUCCCGACACGGGGAGGUAGUGACAAUAAAUAACAAUACAGGGCCUUUACGGGUCUUGUAAUUGGAAUGAGUACAAUUUAAAUCCCUUAACGAGGAACAAUUGGAGGGCAAGUCUGGUGCCAGCAGCCGCGGUAAUUCCAGCUCCAAUAGCGUAUAUUAAAGUUGUUGCAGUUAAAAAGCUCGUAGUUGAAUUUUGGCCUUAGUUUGUGAGGUCCAGCCUUCAUUGGUUGGUACCUUUACGAACUGGGCUCCACCUUCUGGGUUAGCUAGUUGUUACUUCGGUGCAGCUAGUGAACCAGAACUUUUACUUUGAAAAAAUUGGAGUGUUUAAAGCAGGCUUUUAAGCUUGAACAUAUUAGCAUGGAAUAAUGAAAUAGGACUUUGGCCUUAUUUCGUUGGUUUCUAAAGCCAAAGUAAUGAUGAAUAGGGAUAGUUGGGGACAUUAGUAUUCAAUUGUCAGAGGUGAAAUUCUUGGAUUUAUUGAAGACUAACUUCUGCGAAAGCAUUUGUCAAGGAUGUUUUCAUUAAUCAAGAACGAAAGUUAGGGGAUCGAAGACGAUCAGAUACCGUCGUAGUCUUAACCAUAAACUAUGCCGACUAAGGAUUGGAUGGUGUUAUAUUUUAUAUUGACCCAUUCAGCAUUUCAGCGAAAGCCAAGUUUUUGGGUUCCGGGGGGAGUAUGGUCGCAAGGCUGAAACUUAAAGG